RNAcentral lists this ribosomal RNA (354 nucleotides) under Triticum aestivum (bread wheat). RNAcentral describes it as "partial small subunit ribosomal RNA". Lineage: Eukaryota; Viridiplantae; Streptophyta; Magnoliopsida; Poales; Poaceae. The record is from RNAcentral.
AUGGCCAUCAAUCUCCUCAUCCUCCCCCUCGAUGAGGUCGGACGCCUGUAUCCCGCGAGGCUGGAGAUGGCGCCCACCAUGAGGAGUGGACGGAGGUGCUGGAACCGCCCAGCAGAGGUGCUACGACGGCAUGACGGAGAUGCUACCUCCGUUGCCGGUGAAGAUGCAUCCGUCGACGGCGGCGCUGUGACGACAUGGCGGAGGUGUUGGAACCGGCUGGUAGAGGUGUUGCAUCCGUUGUCGGGGAAGCUGCAUCCCCUGUCGUCAGUGUUGGGUGAGGUGCUGGAACCGCUCGACGGAGGUGUUACAUCCAUGGCUGGGAGGCAGGCGGGGGGCAGCACCGACGAGGGGUGA